RNAcentral lists this ribosomal RNA (588 nucleotides) under Triticum aestivum (bread wheat). Its description in RNAcentral is "partial small subunit ribosomal RNA". The record is from RNAcentral. Lineage: Eukaryota; Viridiplantae; Streptophyta; Magnoliopsida; Poales; Poaceae.
AAAAAAGAAAAAAAGAAAAACAACGCACAUCCCCACGUCCUCGUAUCCCACCUCCCACUCCCUUCCCCAAAUCCCCCGCUCUCAAUUCCCUAUUCUCUCCAGAGAGGAAUCACCGCUGCCGACCUCCUCCCUCCUAUAGCGACGGAGGCGGACGCCGGGUUGGGUCGGACGCCCACGUGGAAGGAGCGGGAGAACAACAAGCGGCGCGAGCGCCGGCGCCGGGCCAUCGCCACCAAGAUCUUCACCGGCCUCCGCGCGCUCGACAGCUACAAGCUCCUCAAGGAGCUCUGCCGCGAGGCCGAAUGGGUCGUGGAGGAUGACGGCACCACCUACCGCAAGGGAUACAAGCAGCCGUCGUCCGGGCCGUUCGGUGGGGUCUCGUCGGUGGGCAUGAGCCCUUGCUCGUCCUCGCAGCUGCUCGGUGCAUCGUCGUUCCUGAGCCCGGUGCCUUCCUACCACCCCAGCUCGGCGUCAUCCAGCUUCCCGAGCCCCACGCGCCUCGACAACCCCAGCCCCGCCUACCUCUUCCCAUUCCUCCGUGGCCUCCCCAACCUGCCCCUGCUCCGGGUCUCCAACAGCAGGGGGUGA